RNAcentral lists this long non-coding RNA (355 nucleotides) under Capsella rubella. RNAcentral's name for it is "long non-coding RNA (CRUB_LNC002774)". Lineage: Eukaryota; Viridiplantae; Streptophyta; Magnoliopsida; Brassicales; Brassicaceae. The record is from RNAcentral.
AAUGGGUCAUUUAAAAAUAAUUAAUAAUUCACUAAGGAAGCUGCGAUGAAAUUUCAUAUACUAGAGUUUUUUUUGUCUUUUACAUAUCUAAUCAUUUAAUCUCUGAGCCUAUGCCAUCAACACAUAUCUUUCUUUUUUUUGUCAAUAACCAUCAACACAUAUCUUAAAGCACCUUCUUCGAAAUUCCCCUUGGAGGAAAAAAACAUGGACCUCUUUCUUGUUCCCUUGGAUUUUCUCGGAAAAUGAUAUGUAUCUAUUGUCUUCUUACUAAUAUAUCUCUUUCUUCUUUUUGUUUUUUUCGAUAUUCAAUUGUGAUUUUUUUUUUGUUUCUUCCUUCAACAAGCCAAAUUGUAGA